This 71-nucleotide transfer RNA is filed under the name Ovis aries (sheep). It matches the Rfam family "tRNA". From Rfam's summary of the family: Transfer RNA (tRNA) molecules are approximately 80 nucleotides in length. Their secondary structure includes four short double-helical elements and three loops (D, anti-codon, and T loops). Lineage: Eukaryota; Metazoa; Chordata; Mammalia; Artiodactyla; Bovidae. The record is from Rfam by way of RNAcentral.
CCAGAAUUGGCUCAGAGGUUAAAGCGUCUGCCUGGAAUGCAGGAGACCAGAGUUCAAUCCCUGAGUCGGGG